Molecule: non-coding RNA, 104 nt
Organism: Myodes glareolus (Bank vole)
Lineage: Eukaryota; Metazoa; Chordata; Mammalia; Rodentia; Cricetidae
Source: RefSeq, a predicted model, not a curated record
GUCUUCAUUUUGCAGUCAUCAUCUGUACGAAUUCUUCAUAGUUGACUUGUCCAUCUCCAUCGAUAUCUGCUUCUCUGAUUAUCUCAUCUACUUCUUCAUCCAUU